GGUGGGGUACCCAAGUGGCCAACGGGGGCAGACUGUAAAUCUGCUGGCAUCGCCUUCCAAGGUUCGAAUCCUUGCCCCACCACCA
This 85-nucleotide transfer RNA is filed under the name Kiritimatiellia bacterium. RNAcentral describes it as "tRNA-Tyr". It matches the Rfam family "tRNA". Rfam says of the family: Transfer RNA (tRNA) molecules are approximately 80 nucleotides in length. Their secondary structure includes four short double-helical elements and three loops (D, anti-codon, and T loops). Further hydrogen bonds mediate the characteristic L-shaped molecular structure. tRNAs have two regions of fundamental functional importance: the anti-codon, which is responsible for specific mRNA codon recognition, and the 3' end, to which the tRNAs corresponding amino acid is attached (by aminoacyl-tRNA synthetases). tRNAs cope with the degeneracy of the genetic code in two manners: having more than one tRNA (with a specific anti-codon) for a particular amino acid; and 'wobble' base-pairing, i.e. permitting non-standard base-pairing at the 3rd anti-codon position. Lineage: Bacteria; Pseudomonadati; Kiritimatiellota; Kiritimatiellia. The record is from RNAcentral.